GAUUUUUGAAGUACAGUUAAUCUUCAUAAAUUAUUAUUCUUCCUGCCUAUUUAUUUGUCAUAAGUGAAACAUCUUUGUGCAGUGCAUUCAUUCCACUGGAGUGUGUUUUAGCUAUCUUUUGAAUGCUACCUUAAAACAAAAAAUUGACAUUUUUUGCAAACCCUGGACGAUACUCAGAUUGUCCCUUUCGCUCACUUUAAUUUCGAACCUCACUCUGGCCAUACUGCAAAUGGCCAGCACAUAAUCCCAACAGCAGGAAAGACUCUGAUUUCAUUGUGACAUUAGAGGAAAUUCCAGAAUUGUUUGCAGAACUUGUGAAAACUUGGAAUAUCUUUCUUCAACUAGCUUUAGUACAUCCAUUUAAUUUUUUCCAUAGUCUCUCAUGAGUGGUUUUUCUUGGGGAAAAACCUCACUGUAUCCAUCAUGGAUUUAUUUAUUUAUUUAUUUAAAGUUUGCAAUUCUAGGAGAACUUACAUUAGUCAAAAUGCUUCUGGCAAGUAAACUAAAUCCUGGAGCUUAUGGGUUUCCAAUCUUGCGCUACUUCAGUGUCCCUCCUGUUUUGUCUCCAGUCCCAGACGGAGCAAUGGCUCUCCAGGCAGUGGAAAACCGUCCUGCUGCCUUCAGUACAUUAGCCCUGAUUAGCACCUGCCAACCGCCUGACUCUUCUUCUUCACCACGAGAAGAAAUCCGGGGGGAGAAGAGAACGUUGACGAGCCUAAAACACGCGCUCUCAGUUUUUUUCCAAAGAAAACCAAAGCCGCGUGCGUCUGGACCUGCCUGCCAGUCCUGCUGACUUGCUGUGACGCAGGGCUUGUUCUGAAGAGAAUAAGCUCACCUCGCUGAUCCAAACGCUUAAAAGUCCGUGUUGCCUGAACUAGAAGCAGAUGAAUUCCAGGUAUGAAUGUUUUUUCUUGAACUGUGCCACUGAAUAUCACAGGGGGGAGAAAUGGGGCUUUCUGGGUGUCCGGGCAAUAGUGCCCUAAGCAGAAGUGUCCACAUAGUUACAUGACCACUUACAGAGCUGUGCAAGAUCUGACGGGAUUUGUCAAGGCUGCUUUUCGUUUUCCCCUGGCAUCAUCAAGGAAGUGAUGAUGGACUGGAAGGAAGAAGUUUCAGAUCUCUCCUAAAACUCUGGUUGAGCACAGAAGACCUCGUGUUCAUUUCUGAUGACAUCCCCGUGUUUAAGUGACUUGGAGAAAGGUUGGACUGAAUUUUCCUCUCCUGUACUUGAGUUUCUCCAGUUAACUGUAAGACGUAGCAGUGAGCAUCCAUCAGACCAUGGUGACAAGCUGUAAGGAUGGGUCACUGGUCACCUGGAAAGCGGGCUCCCUGCUGAAAUGUCGGCAGGCUUGUCUUAGCAGCAGGUGUUAAAAAAUAAUGCUGCUGAUUCUUUGGGUCCAAACAUAGAUAAAUGUCUUUCCCUCUAUGUGAGCUUUGAGAAACACAUCCUGAGAACCUACAGUAUUAAAGGUGGAAAAGUUAACUUGCAUCUAAGAAGUUAGACUGUUUUAAUUUAUGUGUAAAGUUUAAAAGCAGCUAUAAAAAGCUUCUUGUCAUAAAUUAUUCUUGAAAUAAUUCUUGCCCCGAGGGUUUCCAUAGCGACAGCUGUUGUUGUUGAUUCCGUAAUGUUAGCACAGUCGACAUUUACUGCACAACGAGAACCUCUGAUUGAUUUUCCUAUGCAGAGAGGAAAAAACAACUGCUCUCGGAGAUGCGUGGUACGUAACUGCCAGUUUCUGAGGGACGCCGCCGUGUAACCCCGCACCGAGAGGCUGCGGUUUCUUGAGCAACAAACAGGAACGCUUACAAAUAAUUCGACAGAUCGCAAGAUAAUCUCAUCAGAUGACAGCAACAUUUAGGAGAGGCCGUGACGGCAUCCACCCGCCGAACUCGGAGCCGGGAAACUGCGCGGGGCGUGCUGCGAUCGCCGCGGGGCUUUGCCUCCCGCUUGGGACAGCGCAGCAGCGCGUUUGGGAGCGUCGAACGGCGUGCCGUGCCUCGACGAAACGCGGCGUGACAGCAGCAGUGCAAAAUGCGACUUUUGUGGAGCGUGUCCAGACUGGAAGUCUAAAUUAGAAAUAUGUCUUUGGGAAAGAGAGAAAAGAGAGGGACAGCAGGAGAGCGCGCAAAGAGAUCUUGCAAGGUAUCUGCGGCCGUAACACAGCCUGAUGAACUUAAAAAAAAAAAAAAAAAAAUAGUAUGUUUAUCCCAACUGUCGUGCCCAGGCCUGGCCUCCUCUGCUUGCACGGCACGCUCCUCGCGACCGUAGAGGGUCUCUCCAGCUGUUCAUGCAAUGUUCCCGUGAUAGCCCGCGGUGGCCUCGGAGCGCGGCUGGGUGUUUGUUCGGUGGUGAGCAGCACCCGCGAGGAGCAGUACCACGUUUAGUCUCUGUGAGCAAGGCUGUUUUCCGUGCGCGUUGGCACGUUCCCCGUCCGCGGGCUCUCGACAGCCCGGUUGCAGCUGCGCUCAUCCAACCUUGCAGGGACCUCGAGGUGCGCAGCCCUCCCGGCUCACGCCUCCACUCGCAGCUCCCUGCAGCCCCAGGUUGUCUCCUUGCCUGCAGCACUCCUGCCCGAAAGAGGCACUUUCCUUGGUCACUGGCAGGGAGGGGCUGGAGGAACUUCAUCUGACCUAAAAUAUUACUACUCAUCAGGGGAAAAAAUAUUUUUGCUACUAAAUAAAAGAUUGAAGGAGUAUUUUAAAAUGUUUGGG
RNAcentral lists this long non-coding RNA (2712 nucleotides) under Struthio camelus australis. Its description in RNAcentral is "lncRNA (ENSSCUG00000007614.1)". Lineage: Eukaryota; Metazoa; Chordata; Aves; Struthioniformes; Struthionidae. The record is from RNAcentral.